CUCUCCGGGCCCGCCGGUCCUGCAGUUUCCGAGUUCUGCUGGAGGACGAGACCCGCUCAGAGCCGCCGGCACCCGCGGUCGCCGCGGUUCCCCACGGAGCGGCAGCCGGCCCGCCCCGCGCCGCCUCUCCGCGCUGCCGGGGGGAACUUAAUCGCGCCGGGGGUAAUCUUGCAAGAGCAGGCAGCUACCUUCUCGUUCCAAGGUCCUGGCUCUUACUUUGUUUCUCCACGCGGUUUGAGUAUCGCCGCCCCUACCGCCGCGUCCGGCCUCGGGAUAGAAGGGAAAGUGAGCGACACGGGGCUGCGCGCUCCCGAGCAUCGCAGCAGGGACACACAGACACAGACAGACAGACAGGCGCUGUCCCGGAACCGGAGUGUAGUCUCGGGCUCCACUAAAUACGUUUUUCGAAUCGUUGACCAGCCUCUGGACCACACAACACAGUAACAAAGGCUGUUCGUGUCGCGUCGAUCACAUCUUCAGAUCACCGUAUGUUGGAAUAAAGCACCCGAGACUCCAUUUUCUUCAUGCAGAAAGCCAAUUCUUUAUUCACCAAGCUCAUAUUUGUAGGGAAUAUCAGAAGGCACUGUGUUAAACCUAAUUGGUCAGCAAUGCAGUGAAACUCAGUUCAUUGGAUGGGACCAUGGCCAUGGGACAGACUCCAGGACAUUGCUCACUCAGUAAUUCACUUGCAAACCACGUUUGAAGUUCAGUCCAGAGCCUCUGAUUGGCUGUACAGGGCCAAACUUUGGGGCUCUGCAGACCAGAGCAAGAUGUCACAGGCUCCAAGUUCCAGGCUGCGGGUCCUUUAGUGAAAAUUGGCUUCACACAGUAUAUUUUCCAAGUGCAGAAUGUCUUCCAGUUUCUUUGUACAGAAAAUGGCAUCAAUAUAACACAUUGAAUUUAAUUCAUAAUAGCAAUUAAGACCCCGAGAGGGUGGAUCCACAAGGGAGGAUCCAAGCCACUGUGGAAGCUCUUCCAGGAGCAAAUGUGUGAGAGCCAUCUGUCGCCUCUCCACACACAGUGACAGUCACAGCAUGUCUCUGCAGCCUACUCAGAAAAUUCACACCAUGAUGAAGGGUUGUUGAAUAUAUUCUGCAAGUGUUGCCUGCCGAGGGCUGCUCUGCACUGAAGGGGAUGUGAGGCUCAGCCAUGAUGGUGCCCAGCAGCUCUGAGCAGGAGGGGCAGCUUGCUGAAGGAGAAUGUGGCUGUUGGGUUUGCAGAGCUCUGAGUACUCCCUGCAGAGAGCGUCCUGCCUCCACUGGAGCAGGGUUUCAACAAUCUGAUGGUCGAGAGCAAAAAUCAAAUUCCUAUUGAGAAACAUGGUGAACUGCUGUCAGAAAGGGGAAAACCUUGCUCCAGGUGACACUGAUGAAUACCCUGCACCCCUUUACCUGCAGUCAAAAGACAAUGAACUUUCCAUUCUUCUGCAUAAAAAUGGAGUGACAUGUGCACAUAUAAGAAGGCAAAAAAAUCACUACAGGCCUUAUAAAACCUGUCAGUGCUGCACAGGCUCCUUUCCCCAGGGAGAGUUGGAGGAAACAAGUAUGAGACAGUCACUCAUCAUUUUGCUUAAAAUAAGGCUGGGAGGCCCAGGGAUGCUCCAGCAAACCCCACAGCAAAGCUGCAGAACAAAGAACUGACUGAGCCAGCUCCUGACCCACAAAAUGCAGGAAUCAGAUCAGUUGAGGACAGGAGCUGCAGGGAUUCCAGGACUACCUUGGACCACCUCAUCCCUUCAGUUUUCAGGUCUUCUCUGGUAUGUGAGGAUGAGGUGAGACCUUAAUUCCCAUUUGGCCAGCUGAAUGUGCUUCAGACACACCUUUAGCCCUGCUUGCACUUGGCUGCUGUCCCAGGGGUGCACCCUGAGACGUGGGACCUGAGUGGCUUGUGAUCACGUGAAGGCAUCCAGCUCACCAAAGUGCUGACUGAGGCUGGUGUGUCCCUGGGGGCUCAGCUGGCAGGGGUGUCAGAAGGCCAAGAUGCACCUGAAACCACUGGGUACCUGCAUGGCAACCCCCCAUGCCACACACCCUGUCUUUGCUCUUUACUUGUCCCAACACCACACACAGCCCCAAUAUUUAUGUACAUAAUAUGACUGUGAUUUCAGCAAAAACAAUCUGCCCCCUCAGUCCAUUAAUAAUGUUGUUUCGCUGCCAAAACAUUUUCAUUUCCUUUUCUCCAGGCCUUCUUUGUCUUCCUUGUGUCUAUUUUUACUGCAUUUUGUGACAGUCAGUUUGCCAUUUAGGUGACUCUUUCUGCAGUGUG
Vidua chalybeata is the source of this 2265-nucleotide long non-coding RNA. RefSeq lists it as uncharacterized. The record is from RefSeq and is a predicted model, not a curated record. The transcript has 3 exons. NCBI's taxonomy places the organism in Eukaryota, Metazoa, Chordata, Aves, Passeriformes, Viduidae.